GCGUUAAGUUGCAGGGUAUAGACCCGAAACCCGGUGAUCUAGCCAUGGGCAGGUUGAAGGUUGGGUAACACUAACUGGAGGACCGAACCGACUAAUGUUGAAAAAUUAGCGGAUGACCUGUGGCUGGGGGUGAAAGGCCAAUCAAACCGGGAGAUAGCUGGUUCUCCCCGAAAGCUAUUUAGGUAGCGCCUCGUGAAUUCAUCUCCGGGGGUAGAGCACUGUUUCGGCUAGGGGGCCAUCCCGGCUUACCAACCCGAUGCAAACUGCGAAUACCGGAGAAUGUUAUCACGGGAGACACACGGCGGGUGCUAACGUCCGUCGUGAAGAGGGAAACAACCCAGACCGCCAGCUAAGGUCCCAAAGUCAUGGUUAAGUGGGAAACGAUGUGGGAAGGCCCAGACAGCCAGGAUGUUGGCUUAGAAGCAGCCAUCAUUUAAAGAAAGCGUAAUAGCUCACUGGUCGAGUCGGCCUGCGCGGAAGAUGUAACGGGGCUAAACCAUGCACCGAAGCUGCGGCAGCGAACGUAUCACUUAAAGCGAUUCAGCGGGUUACGAUUGACGGAGCGAAGCGACGUCAAAGCGUAUACAAAGUCGAGUCGGUUUAAGGAUACGUUCGUUGGGUAGGGGAGCGUUCUGUAAGCCUGUGAAGGUGGCCUGUGAGGGUUGCUGGAGGUAUCAGAAGUGCGAAUGCUGACAUAAGUAACGAUAAAGCGGGUGAAAAGCCCGCUCGCCGGAAGACCAAGGGUUCCUGUCCAACGUUAAUCGGGGCAGGGUGAGUCGACCCCUAAGGCGAGGCCGAAAGGCGUAGUCGAUGGGAAACGGGUUAAUAUUCCCGUACUUGGUGUUACUGCGAAGGGGGGACGGAGAAGGCUAUGUUGGCCGGGCGACGGUUGUCCCGGUUUAAGCGUGUAGGUGUGUGUUCCAGGUAAAUCCGGUUCACUUUAACACUGAGGCGUGACGACGAGGCACUACGGUGCUGAAGCAACAAAUGCCCUGCUUCCAGGAAAAGCCUCUAAGCAUCAGGUAACAUCAAAUCGUACCCCAAACCGACACAGGUGGUCAGGUAGAGAAUACCAAGGCGCUUGAGAGAACUCGGGUGAAGGAACUAGGCAAAAUGGUGCCGUAACUUCGGGAGAAGGCACGCUGACACGUAGGUGAAGUGAUUUACUCAUGGAGCUGAAGUCAGUCGAAGAUACCAGCUGGCUGCAACUGUUUAUUAAAAACACAGCACUGUGCAAACACGAAAGUGGACGUAUACGGUGUGACGCCUGCCCGGUGCCGGAAGGUUAAUUGAUGGGGUCAGCGCAAGCGAAGCUCCUGAUCGAAGCCCCGGUAAACGGCGGCCGUAACUAUAACGGUCCUAAGGUAGCGAAAUUCCUUGUCGGGUAAGUUCCGACCUGCACGAAUGGCGUAAUGAUGGCCAGGCUGUCUCCACCCGAGACUCAGUGAAAUUGAACUCGCUGUGAAGAUGCAGUGUACCCGCGGCAAGACGGAAAGACCCCGUGAACCUUUACUAUAGCUUGACACUGAACAUUGAGCCUUGAUGUGUAGGAUAGGUGGGAGGCUUUGAAGUGUGGACGCCAGUCUGCAUGGAGCCGACCUUGAAAUACCACCCUUUAAUGUUUGAUGUUCUAACGUGGACCCGUAAUCCGGGUUGCGGACAGUGUCUGGUGGGUAGUUUGACUGGGGCGGUCUCCUCCUAAAGAGUAACGGAGGAGCACGAAGGUUGGCUAAUCCUGGUCGGACAUCAGGAGGUUAGUGCAAUGGCAUAAGCCAGCUUGACUGCGAGCGUGACGGCGCGAGCAGGUGCGAAAGCAGGUCAUAGUGAUCCGGUGGUUCUGAAUGGAAGGGCCAUCGCUCAACGGAUAAAAGGUACUCCGGGGAUAACAGGCUGAUACCGCCCAAGAGUUCAUAUCGACGGCGGUGUUUGGCACCUCGAUGUCGGCUCAUCACAUCCUGGGGCUGAAGUAGGUCCCAAGGGUAUGGCUGUUCGCCAUUUAAAGUGGUACGCGAGCUGGGUUUAGAACGUCGUGAGACAGUUCGGUCCCUAUCUGCCGUGGGCGCUGGAGAACUGAGGGGGGCUGCUCCUAGUACGAGAGGACCGGAGUGGACGCAUCACUGGUGUUCGGGUUGUCAUGCCAAUGGCACUGCCCGGUAGCUAAAUGCGGAAGAGAUAAGUGCUGAAAGCAUCUAAGCACGAAACUUGCCCCGAGAUGAGUUCU
RNAcentral lists this ribosomal RNA (2221 nucleotides) under Salmonella enterica subsp. enterica serovar Agona str. 52.F.08. RNAcentral's name for it is "bacterial LSU rRNA". It matches the Rfam family "Bacterial large subunit ribosomal RNA", at positions 692 to 2812 of the family's 2925-position model. Lineage: Bacteria; Pseudomonadati; Pseudomonadota; Gammaproteobacteria; Enterobacterales; Enterobacteriaceae. The record is from RNAcentral. RNAcentral also lists the same sequence under 1 other name.